UCAAAACAUCAUCUAUUUUUGAAAUAUCAAAAACUUUCUAAAACAUAUCUAUUUUGAAACGGAGAAAGUAUUAUUAUUUAUUUACAAAAGUUACAAUCAAAAAAAAAAGAAAAAAGACGGACGCCACAAGAAAUUAAACAGUUGGGGCCUCUCGUGAGUAUUUGGUAAACAAACCCUCCUUAGAUAUCAACUCCCCAGCACACUCUCAUGCACACACACUCAUCGAUUCCAAACUCUCCUCUUGCGUUUACGUGGCGACUCGUUUACGUGUGUCCUCAUACAUUUAUUAUUUACUCAACAGCUUUUCGUUCCCCACCUUUCCCGUGUAGCUGUCUUCUUUUUUUGUUUAUAUAUUUAGAUUCUCCGAAACGCAGGUCAAACCGUCCUGAAACUAAUUAAUUCUACGUCAGUUUUACGUUAGUAUUAAAUAAGAUUAUCCCUUGUUCCUAAAGCAUAUUCUUAUAGAGAUCUGAUUAUGAAACUACAAUAUAUACGUACAUAUAGUACAUUCGCAAUGUCUGCCUUAGACCAUGAUUAACUCGAAGUUCUUAGAGUGUAGUUCUUAGCGGAAGUUAAGAAACGAUUUCUUAAAUAUAUUUC
RNAcentral lists this long non-coding RNA (600 nucleotides) under Brassica napus (rape). Its description in RNAcentral is "long non-coding RNA (BNAP_LNC020110)". Lineage: Eukaryota; Viridiplantae; Streptophyta; Magnoliopsida; Brassicales; Brassicaceae. The record is from RNAcentral.